This 76-nucleotide transfer RNA is filed under the name Pseudomonas aeruginosa. RNAcentral describes it as "tRNA-Ala". It matches the Rfam family "tRNA". Rfam says of the family: Transfer RNA (tRNA) molecules are approximately 80 nucleotides in length. Their secondary structure includes four short double-helical elements and three loops (D, anti-codon, and T loops). Further hydrogen bonds mediate the characteristic L-shaped molecular structure. tRNAs have two regions of fundamental functional importance: the anti-codon, which is responsible for specific mRNA codon recognition, and the 3' end, to which the tRNAs corresponding amino acid is attached (by aminoacyl-tRNA synthetases). tRNAs cope with the degeneracy of the genetic code in two manners: having more than one tRNA (with a specific anti-codon) for a particular amino acid; and 'wobble' base-pairing, i.e. permitting non-standard base-pairing at the 3rd anti-codon position. The record is from RNAcentral. Lineage: Bacteria; Pseudomonadati; Pseudomonadota; Gammaproteobacteria; Pseudomonadales; Pseudomonadaceae.
GGGGCCAUAGCUCAGCUGGGAGAGCGCCUGCUUUGCACGCAGGGGGUCAGGAGUUCGAUCCUCCUUGGCUCCACCA